Molecule: long non-coding RNA, 604 nt
Filed under: Spirodela polyrhiza (greater duckweed)
Lineage: Eukaryota; Viridiplantae; Streptophyta; Magnoliopsida; Alismatales; Araceae
Description: long non-coding RNA (SPOL_LNC000093)
Source: RNAcentral
UCUCGAUCUAUCUAUCCGUCUAUUUAUCCCUCCUCUCUCUCUCUCCAUCGUUCUAUCUAUCUAUCUAUCCGUCUAUCUAUCCUUCUCUCGCUCGCUCUCUCAGACAGUUCGGUUGUCAUUCUCGGUAGAGUGGGCAGAUCAUUCCACUAUCCUCGUGUAUAUCCAUCGUGGCCGUCGAAUAUCUUAUGAUCUUGCCUUUGGUUGAGAAAGGAAGCAAUUAUUUCCAUGUUGACACGUAUGCAUGAACACAUUUGAGUAAAGAAAUUCUCAGUUCACUCAUCCGAAUCGAGGGAUAGACGAAAAAAAUCUUCCUUGGAAUAUAUGAUAUUGGGGAGAGGACGUCAGCUCAUGUUUCAAUGUACCUGGAGUUCUUUCUCCAAGAAGGCAAGAAUGGCGGCAGGGAUGAUCCCUCUGAUCCCACCUCCGUCGAUGCUAAGGAUGGUGAUCAUCUUUCUGCUGUUCGGCGCCUGAGCCAUAGCUUCGUCGGACGAAGAAGAGGAAAAAUGGAACAAGAGGAGUCGUAAGCAAAACUAAGACGAACAAGAAUCGGGAGCUGUCGGAGUUGCUGAAUGAUCGAGUUUCCUCGGAGCAGCCACCAUUAUUU